This 423-nucleotide ribosomal RNA is filed under the name Breviceps verrucosus (plaintive rain frog). RNAcentral describes it as "partial small subunit ribosomal RNA". It matches the Rfam family "Bacterial small subunit ribosomal RNA", at positions 868 to 1448 of the family's 1533-position model. The record is from RNAcentral. Lineage: Eukaryota; Metazoa; Chordata; Amphibia; Anura; Brevicipitidae.
AUCGCCAGGGAAUUACGAGCCCAAACUUAAAACCCAAAGGACUUGACGGUGCCCCACUCCCCCUAGAGGAGCCUGUUCUACAAUCGAUUAUACCCGCUAUACCCGACUGCUUUUUGAUCAAUCAGCUUGUAUACUUCCGUCGUAAGCUCACCAUGUUGAAUUGAUAUUGUAGUGAGCAUAAAGGAUUUAUCUCUCCCCAAUACGUCAGGUCAAGGUGCAGCCCACAAAGCAGAUAGACAUGGGCUACAGUUUCUAUAAUAGAACCCACGAAAAGCCGUAUGAAAUAUGGCCACGAAGGAGGAUUUAGAAGUAAAAAGAAAAUAAGACGUCCUUUUUAACUAAGGUGCUGGGGCGCGUACAGACCGCCCGUCACCCUCUUCAACCACACCCAAUUGAUUAUUAACCCAAUAAUUUAAUACAGAA